RNAcentral lists this ribosomal RNA (496 nucleotides) under uncultured Clostridium sp. RNAcentral's name for it is "bacterial SSU rRNA". It matches the Rfam family "Bacterial small subunit ribosomal RNA", at positions 1021 to 1519 of the family's 1533-position model. Lineage: Bacteria; Bacillati; Bacillota; Clostridia; Eubacteriales; Clostridiaceae. The record is from RNAcentral.
GCGGGGUAGAGAGACAGGUGGUGCAUGGUUGUCGUCAGCUCGUGUCGUGAGAUGUUGGGUUAAGUCCCGCAACGAGCGCAACCCUUAUUGAUAGUUGCCAGCAGUAAGAUGGGCACUCUAUUGAGACUGCCUGGGUUAACCAGGAGGAAGGUGGGGAUGACGUCAAAUCAUCAUGCCCCUUAUGUCUAGGGCAACACACGUGCUACAAUGGUGAGAACAACAAGAUGCAAGACCGCAAGGUGGAGCAAAACUCAAAAACUCAUCCCAGUUCGGAUUGUAGGCUGAAACUCGCCUACAUGAAGCCGGAGUUGCUAGUAAUCGCGAAUCAGCAUGUCGCGGUGAAUACGUUCCCGGGCCUUGUACACACCGCCCGUCACACCAUGAGAGCUUGCAACACCCGAAGUCCGUAGUCUAACCGUAAGGAGGACGCGGCCGAAGGUGGGGUAGGUGAUUGGGGUGAAGUCGUAACAAGGUAGCCGUAGGAGAACCUGCGGCU